AGCUCCAAUAGCGUAUAUUAAAGUUGUUGCGGUUAAAAAGCUCGUAGUUGGAUUUCUGCUAAGGACGACCGACCGACCCAUACGGGUUUGUGUCUGGUUUGACCGAGGCAUCCUCCUGGAAGACGUGGUGCCUUUACUGGUAUCACGGAGUCCAGGACUUUUACUUUGAGGAAAUUAGAGUGUUUCAAGCAGGCAUUUGCCGUGAAUACAUUAGCAUGGAAUAAUAAGAUAGGACUUCGGUUCUAUUUUGUUGGUUUCUAGAACUGAAGUAAUGAUUAAUAGGGACAGUCGGGGGCAUUCGUACUUAAUUGUCAGAGGUGAAAUUCUUGGAUUUAUUAAAGACGAACUACUGCGAAAGCAUUUGCCAAGGAUGUUUUCAUUG
Molecule: ribosomal RNA, 382 nt
Filed under: Prorocentrum sp.
Lineage: Eukaryota; Dinophyceae; Prorocentrales; Prorocentraceae
Description: partial small subunit ribosomal RNA
Rfam family: Eukaryotic small subunit ribosomal RNA
Source: RNAcentral